RNAcentral lists this ribosomal RNA (226 nucleotides) under uncultured bacterium. RNAcentral's name for it is "partial 16S ribosomal RNA". It matches the Rfam family "Bacterial small subunit ribosomal RNA", at positions 538 to 763 of the family's 1533-position model. The record is from RNAcentral.
GCGUUACUCGGAAUUACUGGGCGUAAAGCGCGCGUAGGCGGUUGGACAAGUCGAGUGUGAAAUCCCCGGGCUCAACCUGGGAGCUGCAUUCGAAACUGUUCGGCUAGAGUAUGGGAGAGGGAAGUGGAAUUUCAGGUGUAGCGGUGAAAUGCGUAGAUAUCUGAAGGAACAUCAGUGGCGAAAGCGACUUCCUGGACCAAUACUGACGCUCAGGUGCGAAAGCGUG